Molecule: ribosomal RNA, 463 nt
Filed under: uncultured bacterium
Lineage: Bacteria
Description: bacterial SSU rRNA
Rfam family: Bacterial small subunit ribosomal RNA
Source: RNAcentral
GACGAACGCUGGCGGCGUGCCUAAUACAUGCAAGUAGAACGCUGAAGGAGGAGCUUGCUUCUCUGGAUGAGUUGCGAACGGGUGAGUAACGCGUAGGUAACCUGCCUGGUAGCGGGGGAUAACUAUUGGAAACGAUAGCUAAUACCGCAUAAUAUUGACUAUUGCAUGAUAGUCAAUUAAAAGGUGCAAUUGCAUCACUACCAGAUGGACCUGCGUUGUAUUAGCUAGUUGGUGGGGUAACGGCUCACCAAGGCGACGAUACAUAGCCGACCUGAGAGGGUGAUCGGCCACACUGGGACUGAGACACGGCCCAGACUCCUACGGGAGGCAGCAGUAGGGAAUCUUCGGCAAUGGACGGAAGUCUGACCGAGCAACGCCGCGUGAGUGAAGAAGGUUUUCGGAUCGUAAAGCUCUGUUGUAAGAGAAGAACGAGUGUGAGAGNGGAAAGUUCACACNGNGACGG